This 354-nucleotide ribosomal RNA is filed under the name Meyerozyma guilliermondii. RNAcentral describes it as "SSU rRNA". Lineage: Eukaryota; Fungi; Ascomycota; Pichiomycetes; Serinales; Debaryomycetaceae. The record is from RNAcentral.
AAGGWUUGGMAGAUUGAGAGCUCUUUCUUGAUUUUGUGGGGUGGKGGKGCAUGGCCGUUCUUAGUUGGKGGAGUGAUUUGUCUGCUUAAUUGCGAUAACGAACGAGACCUUAACCUACUAAAUAGUGCUGCUAGCUUUUGCUGGUAUAGUCACUUCUUAGAGGGACUAUCGAUUUCAAGUCGAUGGAAGUUUGAGGCAAUAACAGGUCUGUGAUGCCCUUAGACGUUCUGGGCCGCACGCGCGCUACACUGACGGAGCCAGCGAGUAUUAACCUUGGCCGAGAGGUCUGGGAAAUCUUGUGAAACUCCGUCGUGCUGGGGAUAGAGCAUUGUAAUUAUUGCUCUUCAACGAGGA